This 265-nucleotide ribosomal RNA is filed under the name uncultured bacterium. RNAcentral's name for it is "partial 16S ribosomal RNA". It matches the Rfam family "Bacterial small subunit ribosomal RNA", at positions 793 to 1055 of the family's 1533-position model. The record is from RNAcentral.
GUCCUAGCCGUAAACGAUGAGCACUAGGUGUUGGGGGUUACCUUCAGCGCCGUAAGAUAACUCGUUAAGUGCUCCACCUGGGGACUACGACCGCAAGGUUAAAACUCAAAGGAAUUGACGGGGGCCCGCACAAGCGGUGGAACAUGUGGUUCAAUUCGACGCUACGCGAGGAACCUCACCAGGGCUUGACAUGCAGGAAGUAGUGACCCGAAAGGCAAACCACCUGUCAAGUCAGGAGCCUGCACAGGUGCUGCAUGGCUGUCGU